Molecule: ribosomal RNA, 350 nt
Filed under: uncultured bacterium
Lineage: Bacteria
Description: bacterial SSU rRNA
Rfam family: Bacterial small subunit ribosomal RNA
Source: RNAcentral
UGGGGAAUAUUGGACAAUGGGCGCAAGCCUGAUCCAGCAAUACCGCGUGUGUGAAGAAGGCCCGAGGGUUGUAAAGCACUUUCAAUUGUGAAGAGGGGAUAGUUAGUUAAUACCUGUCUAUCCUGACGUUAACUUUAGAAGAAGCACCGGCUAAUUCAGUGCCAGCAGCCGCGGUAAUACUGAAGGUGCAAGCGUUAAUCGGAAUUACUGGGCGUAAAGCGCGCGUAGGCGGUUACUUAAGUCAGAUGUGAAAGCCCCGGGCUCAACCUGGGAACUGCAUUUGAUACUGGGUGACUAGAGUAUGUUAGAGGGAAGUGGAAUUCCGGGUGUAGCGGUGAAAUGCGUAGAUA